GACGAACGCUGGCGGCGUGCUUAACACAUGCAAGUCGAACGGAAAGGCCCUGCUUUUGUGGGGUGCUCGAGUGGCGAACGGGUGAGUAACACGUGAGUAACCUGCCCUUGACUUUGGGAUAACUUCAGGAAACUGGGGCUAAUACCGGAUAGGAGCUCCUGCUGCAUGGUGGGGGUUGGAAAGUUUCGGCGGUUGGGGAUGGACUCGCGGCUUAUCAGCUUGUUGGUGGGGUAGUGGCUUACCAAGGCUUUGACGGGUAGCCGGCCUGAGAGGGUGACCGGCCACAUUGGGACUGAGAUACGGCCCAGACUCCUACGGGAGGCAGCAGUGGGGAAUAUUGCACAAUGGGCGGAAGCCUGAUGCAGCAACGCCGCGUGCGGGAUGAAGGCCUUCGGGUUGUAAACCGCUUUCGCCUGUGACGAGGCGUGAGUGACGGUAAUGGGUAAAGAAGCACCGGCUAACUACGUG
RNAcentral lists this ribosomal RNA (468 nucleotides) under uncultured bacterium. Its description in RNAcentral is "partial 16S ribosomal RNA". It matches the Rfam family "Bacterial small subunit ribosomal RNA", at positions 28 to 507 of the family's 1533-position model. The record is from RNAcentral.